RNAcentral lists this non-coding RNA (247 nucleotides) under Chloropicon mariensis. The record is from RNAcentral. Lineage: Eukaryota; Viridiplantae; Chlorophyta; Chloropicophyceae; Chloropicales; Chloropicaceae.
CACCAGCGACACAAACGAAGGACGUGCGGCGACACACCCCAACGAACCGAACUGACGUGCGACGAGUAUUCCGACUAUUCGACCAACACCAACUGACACACCAAAGAAGACCAUGUUUUCCAGAAUCACUUUGAGCAGCAGAGCUAAGACGGCUCAGGUAAACAAGUCCAGGAGUACUGUGUCUACCCCCGUGCAGUGCAACGCGAAUGUUAAUUCCAACUCCAGUUCCAGCAGGAGGCUUUGGAAG